UAAAAGAAAAAGAAAGAUAGAAAAGAACAAGGAAGCUCACGAAACAGAGAAAGAAAGGAAAGAAAGAAAGAAAAAGGAAAAAUUGGAGAAUUGAAGCUUGAAAGUUGAAUUGGUAAGUUAAUUAAGCCCUUUCCUUUCUAAUUUUGGUAUUUUAAAGCUUUAGAGAAAGAUUUUCUUGAAUUCAUGAGAAAAUAUUGAAAAUUAAUGAAGGUUUGAUUAGGGUUUAUGUUGAAGAAAUGAUGAAAUUAGGGAUUAAUUUGAUAAAAUUCUGAAUUUGAAUUGAUUUAGGGACUUAAUUGUAAAAGAAGCCAUAAGUUUUGAGUUUUAGGAAUUAAAUUGAAAGAAAUUCGGAAUUAUAGAAAAAUGAUGAAAAUUUGAUAGUUAUAUGAAUAUUUUGAUGGAAAUUGAAUAGAAAUAAGGUGUGAAUUGGUGUUAUAAACUUGGUUAUUAGCAUUUUACAUCAAAACAGUUUUGGGAAGUAGCAAUGGUCUGACUUUGAAAAUUCACUAAAAAAUUUAGGAAUUGAAUUAGAGGAUGAAUAAGAUAUGAAAUUAAAUCUUAUUGAGUCUAGUUUCUUAUAGUGGAAACAAUGUAAGCAAUGAAUUUAUUAAUCAAGAGAUAUUUGAAAUUUUGUAAGACUGGUUCAGGGUGAUUUCGAGACACUCUGUUUUGACUUUGGAAAACCAUUAAAAAUUGUAAAAAAAUUAUUAUGGAGUGUAAUUUAUAUUUGUGAACUCGUUAAUGAAUCUAGUUUUAAAAUAAAUAAAUAAUAACCUUAUUCGAGUUCUGUACAAUGAGAUAAUUGAUUUUUAGUAGAGAGAGGUCAGAACUGUCAAAUGGAGUAACAGGGGAGUAUUUAAUGAAUAAACUGUACUAAUUGGCUGGACCAAAAAUUCUGAAAAUUUUAUGGCGAGAAGAUAUAUGAGUCUAGUUUCAAGGAAAAUUUACAGAUAUUAAUUUGGAGUUUCGUAGCUCAAGAUAUAAAUAAUUUAGUAAUAAUGACUCAAACAGACAGCUUAAUGGUGAAAUUAUAUAUCUUAAAAAAAAAUGGUCAAAUUUGCAUGUUUAUACUCAUGAAUUAAAUUGGAUUGUAUUAUAUUAAUUAAUUAUAAUUAUGCUAAUUUUCGUAGCAAACAAAGGAACCGAGGCAUCCAAUACAAAGGGGAAAGAGAAAGUAGUCGAGGAAUAGCUCGGGGAAAAUCGGUUUGUAUUAUCAUAAUUCAAAGUAUUUAUUAUUGCAUAUUUAAUUGUAAUAUAUAUAUAUGAAUGUGCGUGAAAAUGACUAGAAUGUGAAUUGUUGAUUAGUUGUGAUUACAUUGAGAAAUAUAAGAGAAUUGAUUGAAAUGUGAAAAUGUUUCAGAAAUGGAAAUAUGAUCGAAACCCUAUUAACUAGUUGGGCUUAGUGGAUAUAAUUGGCAUGCCAUAGGAUUGGAAGUGUUCAGGGAUUCUUCGACCUCGAGUCGAUGAGGCACUAGGUGUGCCAUAGAUUUACUUCGGAUAGUUUCGAUAAGGCUUUGGUAGCCACAUUGCUUCAGCUUGGCCGAUGAGGUACUUGGUGUGCCAUAGAUCUGAUUUACUUCGAACUAUCCGAUGAGGCGUUGGUCGCCACUCUGGUGUGUUUGGUUGGAUCCGCGUACCCACCUUGGUCCGAGUCAGGUUAAUAGGGCCUAUAAGUGAAAUGAGCAAAAUUAUCUGAAUCUGAUUAUCUGAAUUAUCGAAUGAAAGGUGAAAGAAAAUGAUGAUACGAAAUGUGAAAAGAAAUUGUGUUGUGAAGUUGAAAGCAUGAACUUUAUGUUUAUGAAUUAUGUAUACAUGAAAGUGUUAUGAAUUAAGUGUUUACAUGUUGGUGAAAAUUUUAUAAUCAUUUGAAUGACAUUAAUAUGACAUGAAUUGGCAUAUUCAAUUGAUUACUUGUGCAUUUAUGUUUUGAACUUGAUUUGAUGUUAUGAAUUGAAUUAUGAUAAUACCACUGGGUAUUUUCAAUGCUCAGCGUACGGUUGUUUUCCGUGCGCAGGUUAGGUAAAAUAGAGUCCGGUUCUGUAUUCAAAAUCAUCUCCGACUCCAGCUCAUUUUGUGGUAAAAAUCUUAUCUUUUGGUAAUGUGGCAUGUACUAGGUUUUAGGUGGUCAUUUGUAUAUAUUUAAUGUUUUAAAUGUAAAAGAUGGUGUAUAAACUUUAAGGAGUUUGACGUAUAAAGGGAUGAUUCCUAAGUUUAUGAAAUGAAUGGUAUAUAGUUAC
RNAcentral lists this long non-coding RNA (2237 nucleotides) under Gossypium barbadense (sea-island cotton). RNAcentral describes it as "long non-coding RNA (GBAR_LNC011095)". Lineage: Eukaryota; Viridiplantae; Streptophyta; Magnoliopsida; Malvales; Malvaceae. The record is from RNAcentral.